This 203-nucleotide unclassified non-coding RNA is filed under the name Hevea brasiliensis (rubber tree). Lineage: Eukaryota; Viridiplantae; Streptophyta; Magnoliopsida; Malpighiales; Euphorbiaceae. The record is from RNAcentral.
CAAGAAACCCAUAGGCAAUCCCAAGGAUGGCAAAGACAACUACAAAGACGACUACCAAGGCAAAGCAAGCCUCCAUGGAUGCAGGGAAGCAGUCCAGUAUGCCCCACCCAUAGCAGCAGUUGCGGCAUCCAGCCAUGCACGGGUCAUUGUUAUUGAAAGACGAGCAAUGUAGUACCAGCCCGAAGAAUCCCAGCAGCACAAAG